CCUACGGGUGGCAGCAGUGGGGAAUAUUGCGCAAUGGGCGAAAGCCUGACGCAGCGACGCCGCGUGAGGGAUGAAGGUCUUCGGAUCGUAAACCUCUGUCAGCAGGGAAGAACGGUCACUGUGCUAAUCAGCAGUGAAUUGACGGUACCUGCAACGGAAGCACCGGCUAACUCCGUGCCAGCAGCCGCGGUAAUCCGGAGGGUGCGAGCGUUAAUCGGAAUUACUGGUCGGAAAGCGCUCGUAGGCGGUAUGUCAAGUCAAGGGUGAAAUCCCCGCGCUCAACGUGGGAACUGACGUUGAAACUGGCAAACUGGAGUGUGUGAGAGGAGAGUGGAAUUCCAGGUGUAGGAGUGAAAUGCGUAGAUAUCUGGAGGAACAUCAGUGGCGAAGGCGACUAUCUGGCACAUAACUGACGCUGAGGAGCGAAAGCGUGGGUAGCAAACAGGAUUAGAUACCCUAGUAGUC
RNAcentral lists this ribosomal RNA (465 nucleotides) under uncultured bacterium. Its description in RNAcentral is "partial 16S ribosomal RNA". It matches the Rfam family "Bacterial small subunit ribosomal RNA", at positions 338 to 795 of the family's 1533-position model. The record is from RNAcentral.